UGAGGAAUAUUGGUCAAUGGACGAGAGUCUGAACCAGCCAAGUAGCGUGAAGGAUGACUGCCCUAUGGGUUGUAAACUUCUUUUAUACGGGAAUAAAGUGCAGUAUGUAUACUGUUUUGUAUGUACCGUAUGAAUAAGGAUCGGCUAACUCCGUGCCAGCAGCCGCGGUAAUACGGAGGAUCCGAGCGUUAUCCGGAUUUAUUGGGUUUAAAGGGAGCGUAGGCGGAUGCUUAAGUCAGUUGUGAAAGUUUGCGGCUCAACCGUAAAAUUGCAGUUGAUACUGGGUGUCUUGAGUACAGUAGAGGUAGGCGGAAUUCGUGGUGUAGCGGUGAAAUGCUUUUAGAUAUCACGAAGAACUCCGAUUGCGAAGGCAGCCUGCUGGACUGUAACUGACGCUGAUGCUCGAAAAGUGU
This 413-nucleotide ribosomal RNA is filed under the name uncultured Bacteroides sp. RNAcentral's name for it is "bacterial SSU rRNA". It matches the Rfam family "Bacterial small subunit ribosomal RNA", at positions 355 to 762 of the family's 1533-position model. Lineage: Bacteria; Pseudomonadati; Bacteroidota; Bacteroidia; Bacteroidales; Bacteroidaceae. The record is from RNAcentral.